AGUGAAUAGAUACCCGGGUAGUCCCAGCUGUAAACGAUGCGCGUUAGGUGUAUCGGUGACCACGAGUCACCGAGGUGCCGAAAGGGAAACCGUGAAACGUGCCGCCUGGGAAGUACGGUCGCAAGGCUGAAACUUAAAGGAAUUGGCGGGGGAGCACCACAACAGGUGGAGCCUGCGGUUUAAAUCGGACUCAACGCCGGGAAGCUCACCGGAUAAGACAGCUGAAUGAUAGCCGGGUUGAAGACUCUGCUUGACUAGCUGAGAGGAGGUGCAUGGCCGUCGUCAGUUCGUACUGUGAAGCAUCCUGCUAAGUCAGGCAACGAGCGAGACCCACGCCAACAGUUGCCAGCAUGUCCUCCGGGGAUGGUGGGGACACUGUUGGGACCGCCUCUGCUAAAGAGGAGGAAGGAAUGGGCAACGGUAGGUCAGCAUGCCCCGAAUUAUCCGGGCUACACGCGGGCUACAAUGGUCAGGACAAUGGGUAUCAACACCGAAAAGUGAAGGCAAUCUCCUAAACCUGUCCUUAGUUCGGAUUGUGGG
This 540-nucleotide ribosomal RNA is filed under the name uncultured bacterium. RNAcentral's name for it is "bacterial SSU rRNA". It matches the Rfam family "Archaeal small subunit ribosomal RNA", at positions 725 to 1260 of the family's 1478-position model. The record is from RNAcentral.